CGAUUUUUUUUGUUAAUUUAUUUUAUGAUAUAUAUCUUCUCGGUUUACUUGGUUACAUGUAUAGAUUAGUUGUACCAAUGAACUAACUCUUAUUUAGGUUAGAUUGUUGUAUAUAUAUAAAUCUGAUGUAAUCACUUUCCUGAUUAAGAAGAUAUAUUUUAUUUACUUCCAUACUGUAUUUAGUUAACUUACCGCACCCAAUUUAAGAAAAAUGGGAGGAGAAGGUGUCAAUUUCAGCGUCAAAGUCUUGAGCAUGUCUGGUGGCCUGGUGGGGCUUAUUGUAGGCUCGAGCACUGGCCUCAAAAUACCUAUAUUAGUAUAUUGACAUGCUCUGUGUUUUCCCUGUCUGCAUCACCAUUACCAUGAAGUAUGCGGAGCCCCGAGGUAUAUUCUUCAUUUCUUUGACCCUUGAAUAUAAUUUGUGCUGUUUUCCAGAAAUACACCAUGGAUGAAAGGGAAUGAUUUAGUAUAAAAUAAUUUUGUUCUCUCCUAUUCCAAUUCGAUGUCUAGCAUGAUUAGGUAGGGGACCUUUGUUUUGAUUAACCUUGGUAAUCUUCUGUAACGUAUCAGUAGAGAUCCAAAACUUGCUAGUGGAUCUUUCUGAUCAUCUCUUUAGCAUAUAUCAGUAGAGAUCCAAAUACAAUACUUCAUAAGGAUCUUGUCCCGAAGAACAUUAUAGUGUGUUGGAACUUGAAAGUAAUAAAACUACUGAUUUGAUUUUUGUGUUUUCAUAUCUACGGUUUUCGUUUGUUUUAUAGUGCUGUAAUGAAAAUUACUCAAUUAAUUUGUAUGCUUUCUAUCAUUUUCACAAUUGUGGGCACUUUAAAUAAAAACGAAAAGGCUAUUCCAUCUUUUAGAUGCCCAAAUGGUAAACGUUUCGCAUUGUUUGUUGCCUUUGUUAGAACAAUGAC
This 911-nucleotide long non-coding RNA is filed under the name Brassica rapa (field mustard). RNAcentral describes it as "long non-coding RNA (BRAP_LNC004265)". Lineage: Eukaryota; Viridiplantae; Streptophyta; Magnoliopsida; Brassicales; Brassicaceae. The record is from RNAcentral.